GUCUAUGACCCCUGUGUUAUUGCUGUACCAAUCCACCAGGUCUAUGACCCCUGUGUUAUUGCUGUACCAGUCCACCACUCUAGGUCUAUGACCCCUGUGUUAUUACUGUACCAAUCCACCAGGUCUAUGACCCCUGUGUUAUUGCUGUACCAAUCCACCAGGUCUAUGACCCCUGUGUUAUUGCUGUACCAGUCCACCCCUCUAGGUCUAUGACCACUCUAGGUCUAUGACCCCUGUGUUAUUGUCGUACCAAUCCACCACUCUAGGUCUAUGACCCCUGUGUUAUUGCUGUACCAAUCCACCACUCUAGGUCUAUGACCCCUGUGUUAUUGUCGUACCAAUCCACCACUCUAGGUCUAUGACCCCUGUGUUAUUGCUGUACCAAUCCACCAGGUCUAUGACCCCUGUGUUAUUGCUGUACCAGUCCACCAGGUCUAUGACCCCUGUGUUAUUGCUGUACCAAUCCACCAGGUCUAUGACCCCUGUGUUAUUGCUGUACCAGUCCACCAGGUCUAUGACCCCUGUGUUAUUGCUGUACCAAUCCACCAGGUCUAUGACCCAGCCCUUUAUAAUGGUAGAAAGGCUCCACUUUCUUCAGAUGGGAAUCUGUUUUUUUCAACCUGACCAAAUUCACAUAGAAAUGUGAGUUAUAGAUCAGUCAUUCUCAUCGAAAGCCAGUCUUAAGAAGCGGUAGAUCUGUUCUUAUUUCUAUGCUUCCCGUUCUUUUUAUGUUUUGUUUUUUUGCGUCUUUUACUUUCGGUUUUGUACACCAACUUCAAACAGCUGAAAAUACAAUAUUUUUGGGGGUUUAUUGAAGAGAUAUUCCACAGCAGUUUAGAUGGUACAAGGAUUCUCUACUCUAUACUGUCACGUCCUGACCAGUAAUAGGGGUUAUUUGCUAUUGUAGUUUGGUCAGGACGUGGCAGAAGGGUAUUUGUUUUAUGUGGUUCGGGGUGGUGGUUUGUUUAGUAGGGUAUUUGAUUUAUGUAAACCCGGGGGUGUUUUUGGGCACUGUUCUAUGUUAGUGUAUUUCUAUGUUCUGUCUAGUCUUUUGUAUUUCUAAUGUUUUGUUAAUUGGGGUGUUGGACUCUCAAUUGGAGGCAGGUUGUUUUCUAGUUGCCUCCGAUUGAGAGUCCUAUAUAUAUAUGUGUGUGUUUGUUGAGUGCUUGGUGGGAGAUUGUUCUGUGUAUAGCCUUGUGCCUUACCAACCUGUGAAUAGUCGUUGUGGUUUCUUUGUGUACGUGUUUAUUUUGGGUCUCCUUCUUGUCCGAUUUUAAAAUAAAAGCUG
This 1288-nucleotide long non-coding RNA is filed under the name Salmo salar (Atlantic salmon). RNAcentral describes it as "lncRNA (ENSSSAG00000109102.1)". The record is from RNAcentral. Lineage: Eukaryota; Metazoa; Chordata; Actinopteri; Salmoniformes; Salmonidae.